UUUUUUUUUUUUUUUUUUUCCUCCACGCAGCAUUUUCGGCUCACAACCUGCUGACACCAUCUUCUCCUUCCGUUUGUUUGUUUGUUUGUUUUUUUUCCUCCCUGGCCGUUUCCCUUGGUUUAGAUCUCUCGGCUGGAAAAUAGAUGUUGCAGGGUGCUUUUUUUUUUUUUUAUUAUUAUUAUUUGGCCUGGUGUAUUACAGCAACGCUUGAGCCAAGGGGGAUCUUUUCACCGUAAAGGAAAAGACAUCACAUUUACUGUGAAGAAAAGCCUAUAUAUGAUGUCUUUUCCCUCUUCCUCCCCAAGCAGAGAGCAGCAGCAGCCCAGGAAGGGAGGCCAAGCCGUGCUGGAGGCAGCGGCGAUGCCGCGCGGUGCUUUUCGGUUCUGGGAGAGCCAUGUCCAUCCCUCUCCCUUCUUCUGUUGUCUUCUCUCAUUUUUGUGCUACCCUAAAAACUGCAGACUCCGGCGGCAAAGCAGUGAAAAGGAGUAUAUAAUAAUUUAUAGGGGAAUUCAGCUUCUUGGUCACCUUGGCAAGAGCCUUGUUCAGGAACGGUGGGAAGGUCAGAAAAGGUUGCACGUUCCUCUCUGCGACAGAUAAGCCAUAUAUUGAUGUAUGUACACACGUGUGCGUCUGUCUAGGUCAUGUGAUUCUGUUAUAAAUUUUCAUCAAGGGAGCUUUUGUCUUUUAUUUUUUUUUUUCCUUUUAUUUCUUUGCUUUAAGAAAAAGAAAAAAAAAAUUCCUCUGUUGAAUUCCACAGUGUUGUAAUUGUACUGAGCUCCAAACUGUUCCGAUUUCCCCAGACCACUUAGCUACGGUAUAUUGCAAUAAAAUUACUACUUGUAUUUGCAGACAUUCUUUUUGUGUAAUUUUAUUUCCCUCCUCCCUUAAUAUAUAUGACUUGAACAAAUGUUGAUAAGAAAAAUAAAACCUAUGGAAAAAAAUUUUAGUACAUAAGGCCCUUUUUAAAAUAUAGUGUCGAAUGACAUAUUGUACAUUUCUUCAAAGUCCAAUAAACAUGUCAUAAAAUUUAAGUGUAAUGCCCAUAAGAGCUAUUUUUAAAUAUUUUAAACCUGUGUAAUAAAGGAAUAAAUGUAAUAGAUUUUUUUCAAUAAAUCAAGUUUACUGUUUCCACCUAAA
Long non-coding RNA from Calidris pugnax (ruff), 1137 nucleotides. RefSeq lists it as uncharacterized. The record is from RefSeq and is a predicted model, not a curated record. The transcript has 2 exons. NCBI's taxonomy places the organism in Eukaryota, Metazoa, Chordata, Aves, Charadriiformes, Scolopacidae.